This 486-nucleotide ribosomal RNA is filed under the name uncultured bacterium. Its description in RNAcentral is "partial 16S ribosomal RNA". It matches the Rfam family "Bacterial small subunit ribosomal RNA", at positions 30 to 507 of the family's 1533-position model. The record is from RNAcentral.
AUUGAACGCUGGCGGCAUGCCUUACACAUGCAAGUCGAACGGCAGCACGGGUGCUUGCACCUGGUGGCGAGUGGCGAACGGGUGAGUAAUACAUCGGAACAUGUCCUGUAGUGGGGGGUAGCCCGGCGAAAGCCGGAUUAAUACCGCAUACGAUCUACGGAUGAAAGCGGGGGACCUUCGGGCCUCGCGCUAUAGGGUUGGCCGAUGGCUGAUUAGCUAGUUGGUGGGGUAAAGGCCUACCAAGGCGACGAUCAGUAGCUGGUCUGAGAGGACGACCAGCCACACUGGGACUGAGACACGGCCCAGACUCCUACGGGAGGCAGCAGUGGGGAAUUUUGGACAAUGGGCGAAAGCCUGAUCCAGCAAUGCCGCGUGUGUGAAGAAGGCCUUCGGGUUGUAAAGCACUUUUGUCCGGAAAGAAAUCCUUGGCCCUAAUACGGUCGGGGGAUGACGGUACCGGAAGAAUAAGCACCGGCUAACUACGUG